UGGAUUAGUGGCGAACGGGUGAGUAACACGUGAGUAACCUGCCCUCCACUUUGGGAUAACUCCGAGAAAUCGGGGCUAAUACUGGAUAUGACUAUGGCCCGCAUGGGUUGUGGUGGAAAGUUUUUCGGUGGGGGAUGGGCUCGCGGCCUAUCAGUUUGUUGGUGAGGUAGUGGCUCACCAAGGCGAUGACGGGUAGCCGGCCUGAGAGGGCGACCGGCCACACUGGGACUGAGACACGGCCCAG
RNAcentral lists this ribosomal RNA (244 nucleotides) under uncultured Actinomycetales bacterium. RNAcentral's name for it is "partial 16S ribosomal RNA". It matches the Rfam family "Bacterial small subunit ribosomal RNA", at positions 88 to 334 of the family's 1533-position model. The record is from RNAcentral. Lineage: Bacteria; Bacillati; Actinomycetota; Actinomycetes; Actinomycetales.